This 710-nucleotide ribosomal RNA is filed under the name Roseovarius sp. RNAcentral describes it as "bacterial SSU rRNA". It matches the Rfam family "Bacterial small subunit ribosomal RNA", at positions 36 to 796 of the family's 1533-position model. The record is from RNAcentral. Lineage: Bacteria; Pseudomonadati; Pseudomonadota; Alphaproteobacteria; Rhodobacterales; Roseobacteraceae.
CCGGGCGGCAGCUACACAUGCAGUCGAGCGAGAACUUCGGUUCUAGCGGCGGACGGGUUAGUAACGCGUGGGAACGUGCCCUUCACUACGGAAUAGUCCCGGGAAACUGGGUUUAAUACCGUAUACGCCCUUCGGGGGAAAGAAUUUCGGUGAAGGAUCGGCCCGCGUUAGAUUAGAUAGUUGGUGGGGUAACGGCCUACCAAGUCUACGAUCUAUAGCUGGUUUUAGAGGAUGAUCAGCAACACUGGGACUGAGACACGGCCCAGACUCCUACGGGAGGCAGCAGUGGGGAAUCUUAGACAAUGGGCGCAAGCCUGAUCUAGCCAUGCCGCGUGAGUGAUGAAGGCCUUAGGGUCGUAAAGCUCUUUCGCCAGGGAUGAUAAUGACAGUACCUGGUAAAGAAACCCCGGCUAACUCCGUGCCAGCAGCCGCGGUAAUACGGAGGGGGUUAGCGUUGUUCGGAAUUACUGGGCGUAAAGCGCGCGUAGGCGGAUUGGAAAGUUGGGGGUGAAAUCCCAGGGCUCAACCCUGGAACUGCCUCCAAAACUAUCAGUCUAGAGUUCGAGAGAGGUGAGUGGAACUCCGAGUGUAGAGGUGAAAUUCGUAGAUAUUCGGAAGAACACCAGUGGCGAAGGCGGCUCACUGGCUCGAUACUGACGCUGAGGUGCGAAAGUGUGGGGAGCAAACAGGAUUAGAUACCCUGGUAGUCC